UACGAAGGGGGCGAGCGUUAUUCGGAAUCACUGGGCGUAAAGCGUGCGUAGGCUGUUCUGUAAGUUGGAAGUGAAAUCCCAAGGCUCAACCUUGGAACUGCUUUCAAGACUGCGGAACUCGAAUUCGGGAGAGGAUAGCGGAAUUCCUAGUGUAGUAGUGAAAUACGUAGAUAUUAGGAGGAACACCAGUGGCGUAGGCGGCUAUCUGGACCGAUAUUGACGCUGAGGCACGAAAGCGUGGGGAUCAAACAGG
RNAcentral lists this ribosomal RNA (253 nucleotides) under uncultured bacterium. RNAcentral describes it as "partial 16S ribosomal RNA". It matches the Rfam family "Bacterial small subunit ribosomal RNA", at positions 524 to 776 of the family's 1533-position model. The record is from RNAcentral.